Molecule: ribosomal RNA, 379 nt
Filed under: uncultured cyanobacterium
Lineage: Bacteria; Bacillati; Cyanobacteriota
Description: bacterial SSU rRNA
Rfam family: Bacterial small subunit ribosomal RNA
Source: RNAcentral
CGCAAGCCUGACGGAGCAACGCCGCGUGAGGGACGAAGGCCUCUGGGCUGUAAACCUCUUUUCUCAAGGAAGAAGACCUGACGGUACUUGAGGAAUAAGCCACGGCUAAUUCCGUGCCAGCAGCCGCGGUAAUACGGAGGAGGCAAGCGUUAUCCGGAAUGAUUGGGCGUAAAGCGUCCGCAGGUGGCGAUGCAAGUCUGCUGUCAAAACCCAGGGCUCAACUCUGGUCAGGCAGUGGAAACUACAAAGCUAGAGUCUGGUAGGGGCAAAGGGAAUUCCCGGUGUAGCGGUGAAAUGCGUAGAGAUCGGGAAGAACAUCGGUGGCGAAAGCGCUUUGCUAGACCAGAACUGACACUCAGGGACGAAAGCUAGGGGAGCG